Non-coding RNA from Caenorhabditis elegans, 21 nucleotides. Lineage: Eukaryota; Metazoa; Nematoda; Chromadorea; Rhabditida; Rhabditidae. The record is from Ensembl.
UUUUUCCAUCGUUUACCCCAU